UACGGAGGGGGCAAGCGUUGUUCGGAAUUACUGGGCGUAAAGGGCGCGUAGGCGGAUAUCCAAGUCAGGGGUGAAAGGCCUGGGCUCAACCCGGGAACUGCCUUUGAAACUGGGUAUCUAGAGAUCGGAAGAGGAUGGCGGAAUUCCCAGUGUAGAGGUGAAAUUCGUAGAUAUUGGGAAGAACACCGGUGGCGAAGGCGGCCAUCUGGUCCGAUACUGACGCUGAGGCGCGAAAGCGUGGGGAGCAAACAGG
RNAcentral lists this ribosomal RNA (253 nucleotides) under uncultured bacterium. RNAcentral describes it as "partial 16S ribosomal RNA". It matches the Rfam family "Bacterial small subunit ribosomal RNA", at positions 524 to 776 of the family's 1533-position model. The record is from RNAcentral.